Long non-coding RNA from Gadus macrocephalus (Pacific cod), 964 nucleotides. RefSeq lists it as uncharacterized. The record is from RefSeq and is a predicted model, not a curated record. NCBI's taxonomy places the organism in Eukaryota, Metazoa, Chordata, Actinopteri, Gadiformes, Gadidae. The transcript is spliced from 2 exons.
GGUUAUCUCCAGAGUCAGAGGAACCUGGGAUGGAGGAAGCCUAGUCUAAACUUAACGUAAUACCUCAGAACAUUUCCUGAAUGUUUCUCAACCUUUUUGCUGCCAUGGCACACAUAUCAAGUAUCAUAUAGACCAGGGGUAUUUGCUCAAAUCUAAGCCUUGUCAACCAGGGAAUGUGACUAAUUGUAACGUGUCUUCUUGUCUUAAAAGGACAAUACUGGUCUGUGGAGAUCCAUACAAACAUAGUAGACGUGUAAGACUCACCUUUACCUUUUUUAGUUGGUUUGGAUUUCUGAGCAGGGCUAGGCCCAGCUAAAGAGAGACCAGCGAAAUUUGAGGUUAUGGGAACAUCAAUUGACCUUUCCAGUUUGUCCCCGCCAAAAGUGAACGCCAUUCUGAAAAAACAAAAACAAAUACGAUUAGGCCUAUUCCAGAUUGGAUGACACACGUUGAUUUACAACCUUUCAGUUAGUUGUCCGUUAGUUGUCCCGUCAGUUAGUAGGCUACAAGGCCUACUCCAGCUUCAUUCCCUGCUGACGCGUUAUGGCGUCCAGGCAUCCAGAAACCCAACUGUCUUCCAAAAAACUUCUGCCCUACAAUGCUGUAUUUAGCGUUGCAAUAACAUAACAUAACAUAAUAUAACAUAAACAUGUUAUGCAGCAAACAAUCAAGAGAAUACUACAAAAGGCAUAUUGAUGAGAGGUAGAAGAUUAAUAGUGUAUUCCUGACCUAUACCUGUUGUCUGAGCGUCUACCAACGUAGGCUUAUGUUCUGAAUGACAGUUGCUGUGAAUCCUCGCUGCACCUUCCUGGGAAAUGAAAGUGUCGAUUCGGUACUUUCACUUUCACUGAGUUGCGUUGAUUGCCACAAAAACGAUACUGUAUCUUCCAAAGAAAAAUGUAGAUCGAUUGAAGUUGGUUCUGAGCAUAAUAAAUAAUCAAUAAACUGUACUUUGACAGCCAUA